AAGUCGUAACAAGGUUUCCGUAGGUGAACCUGCGGAAGGAUCAUUAACACGUAUCCAACGUUAAACCCCCUGUGAAUUUUAAGUCCUGCUCCGGAAUCUUUUCAAACAGCAAUCCCAGUAAAUCAUUGUUGAACAGUUUUGAUUUGGGACCUCUGCUUGGUGAGUGAACGUUGAGACGGUUGAGAUAGGGGCAUGGCUUCCCGAAUCAUUCACCAAAUGAAAGCGUUGGUGAUUGUGUAAGGAUAACGCUUCUCGGUCGCUGGAGGCCCACCCGGCCGGCGGACAUGCCUCAUGGGCGCAAGCCCCUUAAUAACCCCACUAACUUACCUCACCUGCCGCGAAAGCCGCAGGUGCAAAACGAACAACUGUUAACAAUGGAUAUCUUGGUUCUC
This 392-nucleotide unclassified non-coding RNA is filed under the name fungal sp. RNAcentral describes it as "partial internal transcribed spacer region". The stretch from base 1 to 46 matches the Rfam family "Eukaryotic small subunit ribosomal RNA", at positions 1786 to 1831 of the family's 1831-position model. The record is from RNAcentral. Lineage: Eukaryota; Fungi.